GGGCGGUUAGCUCAGUUGGGAGAGCACUUCCUUGACGUGGAAGGGGCCACAGGUUCGAGCCCUGUACCGCCCACCA
RNAcentral lists this transfer RNA (76 nucleotides) under Candidatus Omnitrophota bacterium. RNAcentral describes it as "tRNA-Val". It matches the Rfam family "tRNA". From Rfam's summary of the family: Transfer RNA (tRNA) molecules are approximately 80 nucleotides in length. Their secondary structure includes four short double-helical elements and three loops (D, anti-codon, and T loops). Lineage: Bacteria; Pseudomonadati; Candidatus Omnitrophota. The record is from RNAcentral. RNAcentral also lists the same sequence under 1 other name.